This 508-nucleotide ribosomal RNA is filed under the name uncultured Palleronia sp. RNAcentral's name for it is "partial 16S ribosomal RNA". It matches the Rfam family "Bacterial small subunit ribosomal RNA", at positions 335 to 865 of the family's 1533-position model. The record is from RNAcentral. Lineage: Bacteria; Pseudomonadati; Pseudomonadota; Alphaproteobacteria; Rhodobacterales; Roseobacteraceae.
UGCNUACGNGAGGCAGCAGUGGGGAAUUUUUNNCAAUGGNCGCAAGCNUGAUCUAGCCACCCCNCGUGAGUGAAGAAGGCCUUAGNGUGGUAAANNUCNUUCGCUGGGGAAGAUAAUGACGGUACCCNGUGAAGAAGUCCCGGCUAACUCCGUGCCAGCAGCCGCGGUAAUACGGAGGGGGCNAGCGUUGUUNGGAAUUNCUGGGCGUAAAGCGCGCGUAGGCGGGCUUUUAAGUCAGGGGUGAAAUCCCGGGGCUCUNCCCCGGAACUGCCCUUGAUACUGCNAGUCUUGAGUUCGAGAGAGGUGAGUGGAAUUCCGAGUGUAGAGGUGAAAUUCGUAGAUAUUCGGAGGAACACCAGUGGCGAAGGCGGAUCACUGGCUCGAUACUGACGCUGAGGUGCGAAAGCGUGGGGAGCGAACAGGAUUAGAUACCCUGGUAGUCCACGCCGUAAACGAUGAAUGCCAGACGUCGCGCAGCNCNNNNCGGUGUCGCAGCUAACGCNUAAGC